This is a microRNA precursor of Dasypus novemcinctus (nine-banded armadillo), 84 nucleotides long. The record is from Ensembl. Lineage: Eukaryota; Metazoa; Chordata; Mammalia; Cingulata; Dasypodidae.
GUUCCUGAGCUAGAGGCAAUCCCACCACUACCACCAGUGCCACCUACAGGUCUGCACCUGUGUCUUUCUGGAGCUAUAGCCUGG